This 1172-nucleotide long non-coding RNA is filed under the name Anas zonorhyncha (Eastern spot-billed duck). RNAcentral describes it as "lncRNA (ENSAZOG00000000552.1)". Lineage: Eukaryota; Metazoa; Chordata; Aves; Anseriformes; Anatidae. The record is from RNAcentral.
CAGCAAUUAUCGUGACAGACAAAAGAGACUCAGAGUAGGGAGUUGGAUUUAUUGCCUAUUACUAACAAGCUAGAGAAAUGAGAAAUAAAGGAAAUAAACCAAAAAUGCCUUCCCCCCCAUCCGCCCUCUUCCACCUCUUCCCCCCGAGCGGCACAGGGGAAGGAGAAUGGGGGCUGUGGUCAGUCUAUGGCACUUCGUCUCUGCUAGUCCUUCUCAGUCCCUCUCUGCCCCUGCUUCCCGUGGGUCCCUCCCAUGGGAUGCUGUCCUUCCCGAAGUGACCCUGCAGGGGCUGCCCACAUGCAGCAGCUCUUCAAGCAAGGCUCUGUAGCACAGGGAGCAAACUGCUCCAGCACGGGUCCCCCACGGGCGGCAGCUCCCCCCAGACUCCCUGCUCCCCGUGGGCUCCUCUCCACAGGCUGCAGCUCCGGCCCGGGGCCUGCUCCUGCGGGGGCUCUCCAUGGGCCGCAGCCUCCUCCAGGCCACAUCCACUGCUCCAGCGGGGGCUCCUCCACCCAUGGGGGGGCUGCAGCGUGGAGAUCUGCUCCUUGUGGGACCCAUGGGUGCAGGGGGACAGCCUGCUCCACCAGGGGCCUCUCCCUGCACAGCCCGCAGGGGAACUGCUGCUGUGAGCCUGGAGCACCUCCUGGCCUCCUGCUGCACUCACCUUGGGGGCUGCAGGGCUGCUUCUCACUCUUCCCUCUGUCAGCUACUGUGUGGCAGUGUUUUUUCUUCCUUAAAUAUGCUCUCAGAGGCACAAACAACAUCGCUUAUGGGCCCAGCUUUGGCGAGCAGCAGGGCCCUUAUCUAACAUGGGGCAGCUUCUGGAUUCUUCUCACAGAAGCCACCCCUAUGGUCCCUGCUACCAAAACCUUGCCACGUAAACCCACUACAGGCAAAUGGGAUGUCUCAUCAUGUCAGCUGCCAGGAAAGUAUCUCCUUUUGGCAUCUGACAUAUAUCAAAUGGAUGAAGAUGUGUUUCCCUACCAGUGUUUUGUUUCUAUUGUUCUUCUCAAAUUGCCCACUAAAAGAGCUCCAAAAACAUGAACUGCUUCUCAGUUCAGAUUUCCAAAAAUCAAAACACUUUCUUGAAACAGCAACUUUUGCAUCCAACCUGGACUAUGAAGCUGUGCCCCAGUGAAUAAUUUCCCCUCACACAUGGGAGAAGAUGCUCA